This 459-nucleotide ribosomal RNA is filed under the name uncultured bacterium. RNAcentral describes it as "partial 16S ribosomal RNA". It matches the Rfam family "Bacterial small subunit ribosomal RNA", at positions 338 to 795 of the family's 1533-position model. The record is from RNAcentral.
CCUACGGGUGACAGCAGUGAGGAAUAUUGGUCAAUGGGAGAGAUCCUGAACCAGCCAAGCCGCGUGAGGGAAGACGGCCCUAUGGGUUGUAAACCUCUUUUGUCGGAGAACAAAACCCGGGACGUGUCCCGGACUGCGUGUAUCCGAAGAAAAAGCAUCGGCUAACUCCGUGCCAGCAGCCGCGGUAAUACGGAGGAUGCGAGCGUUAUCCGGAUUUAUUGGGGUUAAAGGGUGCGUAGGCGGUCCGUUAAGUCAGCGGGAAAAUUGCGGGGCUCAACCCCGUCGAGCCGUUGAAACUGGCAGACUUGAGUUGGCGAGAAGUACGCGGAAUGCGCGGUGUAGCGGUGAAAUGCAUAGAUAUCGCGCAGAACUCCGAUUGCGAAGGCAGCGUACCGGCGCCAGACUGACGCUGAGGCACGAAAGCGUGGGGAUCGAACAGGAUUAGAUACCCCUGUAGUC